CCUACGGGGUGCUGCAGUGGGGAAUAUUGGACAAUGGGCGAAAGCCUGAUCCAGCCAUGCCGCGUGUGUGAAGAAGGCCUUCGGGUUGUAAAGCACUUUCAGUGGGGAAGAAAGCCUUGGGGCUAAUACCCUCGAGGAAGGACAUCACCCACAGAAGAAGCGCCGGCUAACUCCGUGCCAGCAGCCGCGGUAAUACGGAGGGUGCGAGCGUUAAUCGGAAUUACUGGGCGUAAAGCGCGCGUAGGCGGUCUGAUAAGCCGGUUGUGAAAGCCCCGGGCUCAACCUGGGAACGGCAUCCGGAACUGUCAGGCUAGAGUGCAGGAGAGGAAGGUAGAAUUCCCGGUGUAGCGGUGAAAUGCGUAGAGAUCGGGAGGAAUACCAGUGGCGAAGGCGGCCUUCUGGACUGACACUGACGCUGAGGUGCGAAAGCGUGGGUAGCAAACAGGAUUAGAUACCCCAGUAGUC
Molecule: ribosomal RNA, 465 nt
Filed under: Vreelandella stevensii
Lineage: Bacteria; Pseudomonadati; Pseudomonadota; Gammaproteobacteria; Oceanospirillales; Halomonadaceae
Description: partial 16S ribosomal RNA
Rfam family: Bacterial small subunit ribosomal RNA
Source: RNAcentral